UUGUAUAUAUAAUCCGUUCGUCGUAGGUUACAAGAUAUAACCGUCGUUCAGAUUUCGACGAAUCUCAAUCAUAUAACCAAGAGUGGACCGAAAAGGCAAAUGCGAAUAGCCAAUGGCAGGAGCAGUUUGCACAAUGGAGUCUUAAUUCACAAAACAACUAAUUCGUCUCAGUGGACCAGUGAAGGCAGAGCUGGAGGCAGCUGAUACGACGAUACGAAGAAGACGACUCUCGCUUAGCUUUUUACCCUAAUUCUUAUUUUGACUUAGAGCAAUUUAUUUAUUGAUUAUUUUAUGGAGUAGUCGUAGCCUACACUACCUUAAUCCCUCCAAUAUAUUUAUAUGAUUAUUUUAUGCAAACACACGGUAGACAGUAAAGAAGCAAUGAAUAA
Molecule: long non-coding RNA, 389 nt
Organism: Drosophila miranda
Lineage: Eukaryota; Metazoa; Arthropoda; Insecta; Diptera; Drosophilidae
Exons: 3
Source: RefSeq, a predicted model, not a curated record